CUUGACCACAUGUUCAGUAACAAGCAACAGCAAAUGUUCUCGAUUUUACCAUGCUCAUGGUAAAAAUAAAAACAGAGAAUGUGUAAUCUUUACUACCAUGCAUUUAUAUCCAUAACUCACUCCCAUUGAAGGACGCCAUUUUGUACAUUGAUUUAGUAACGAAGACAGUAGCUAUUUGGAAGCAAACUAGAAUUGUUCAUGAACCAAUAGUUUUACGAUUGGGCUGAGAUGUUGCUGUUGGAUGCAUUUCGUUUUCUUUAUUUUUGAAUGGAUGUUGCAGAAAUCCCUCGGAUCGGUUUUUAUGCUUUGGCAUCUCCAGUGGCCAAGUCCACCAAGAAGGCAACGUAAGAUCAGCGUUAAUGACUCUUGAUGCCGGCGACCGUGGAUGGCCAACUGCCUUCAGUGGUAUCCGGAUCAUCUCCAAAAUCUGGAUCAGCAUUCUAUGGAAUGGAACUUCAAAACUGACAGAACGCAAAUUUUAUUUACGCAAAAUUUAUGUUUAUUUGCGUAUACUCUUUAUUUAUUUAGAAUUGAAAUUUGUACAAAUUACCAAUGAUAAGUUAAAAGUAAUUAUUAUCUUACACAUAUUUACAAUUCUGCAUGCAUCAUGCGGGGACCUCGGCAUCGCACUUGAUAAUAUUCAAUAAAAGAAGCGUCCAGUUGAACCUA
Aedes aegypti (yellow fever mosquito) is the source of this 669-nucleotide long non-coding RNA. RefSeq lists it as uncharacterized. The record is from RefSeq and is a predicted model, not a curated record. The transcript has 3 exons. Lineage: Eukaryota; Metazoa; Arthropoda; Insecta; Diptera; Culicidae.